Volvox carteri f. nagariensis is the source of this 83-nucleotide transfer RNA. It matches the Rfam family "tRNA". Rfam says of the family: Transfer RNA (tRNA) molecules are approximately 80 nucleotides in length. Their secondary structure includes four short double-helical elements and three loops (D, anti-codon, and T loops). NCBI's taxonomy places the organism in Eukaryota, Viridiplantae, Chlorophyta, Chlorophyceae, Chlamydomonadales, Volvocaceae. The record is from Rfam.
GGCUUGGUAGCUCAAUGGUGGAGCGUCGGAUUCCAACACACGGACCUAUCCGAAGGUUGUGGGUUCAAUCCCCACCCGGGUCA